Molecule: transfer RNA, 68 nt
Filed under: Argonauta argo
Lineage: Eukaryota; Metazoa; Mollusca; Cephalopoda; Octopoda; Argonautidae
Description: tRNA-Met
Source: RNAcentral
AGUAAAGUAAGCUAAUUAAGCUGUUGGGUUCAUACCUCAAAAAUAGAAUUUAAUAAUUCUCUUUAUUA